Molecule: ribosomal RNA, 447 nt
Filed under: uncultured bacterium
Lineage: Bacteria
Description: bacterial SSU rRNA
Rfam family: Bacterial small subunit ribosomal RNA
Source: RNAcentral
UGGGGAAUAUUGGACAAUGGGCGAAAGCCUGAUCCAGCCAUGCCGCGUGAGUGACGAAGGCCUUAGGGUUGUAAAGCUCUUUUGGCGGGGAAGAUAAUGACGGUACCCGCAGAAUAAGCUCCGGCUAACUUCGUGCCAGCAGCCGCGGUAAUACGAAGGGAGCUAGCGUUGUUCGGAAUCACUGGGCGUAAAGCGCACGUAGGCGGAUUUGUCAGUCAGGGGUGAAAUCCCGGGGCUCAACCUCGGAACUGCCCUUGAUACAGCAAGUCUUGAGUUCGAGAGAGGUGGGUGGAAUUCCUAGUGUAGAGGUGAAAUUCGUAGAUAUUAGGAAGAACACCGGUGGCGAAGGCGGCCCACUGGCUCGAUACUGACGCUGAGGUGCGAAAGCGUGGGGAGCAAACAGGAUUAGAUACCCUCGUAGUCCCUGAGCGGGCUGGCAAGGCGCAU